CAGUCGCCGCGGUAAUACGUAGGUGGCAAGCGUUGUCCGGAAUUAUUGGGCGUAAAGGGCUCGCAGGCGGUUUCUUAAGUCUGACGUGAAAGCCCCCGGCUCAACCGGGGAGGGUCAUUGGAAACUGGGAAACUUGAGUGCAGAAGAGGAGAGUGGAAUUCCACGUGUAGCGGUGAAAUGCGUAGAGAUGUGGAGGAACACCAGUGGCGAAGGCGACUCUCUGGUCUGUAACUGACGCUGAGGAGCGAAAGCGUGGGGAGCGAACAGGAUUAGAUACCCCAGUAGUCCCUGUCCUUAUACA
This 301-nucleotide ribosomal RNA is filed under the name uncultured bacterium. Its description in RNAcentral is "partial 16S ribosomal RNA". It matches the Rfam family "Bacterial small subunit ribosomal RNA", at positions 509 to 809 of the family's 1533-position model. The record is from RNAcentral.